RNAcentral lists this ribosomal RNA (375 nucleotides) under uncultured bacterium. RNAcentral's name for it is "bacterial SSU rRNA". It matches the Rfam family "Bacterial small subunit ribosomal RNA", at positions 521 to 898 of the family's 1533-position model. The record is from RNAcentral.
UAAUACGGAAGGUCCGGGCGUUAUCCGGAUUUAUUGGGUUUAAAGGGAGCGUAGGCCGGAGAUUAAGCGUGUUGUGAAAUGUAGACGCUCAACGUCUGCACUGCAGCGCGAACUGGUUUCCUUGAGUACGCACAAAGUGGGCGGAAUUCGUGGUGUAGCGGUGAAAUGCUUAGAUAUCACGAAGAACUCCGAUUGCGAAGGCAGCUCACUGGAGCGCAACUGACGCUGAAGCUCGAAAGUGCGGGUAUCGAACAGGAUUAGAUACCCUGGUAGUCCGCACGGUAAACGAUGGAUGCCCGCUGUUGGUCUGAAUAGGUCAGCGGCCAAGCGAAAGCAUUAAGCAUCCCACCUGGGGAGUACGCCGGCAACGGUGAA